RNAcentral lists this long non-coding RNA (568 nucleotides) under Heterocephalus glaber (naked mole-rat). Its description in RNAcentral is "lncRNA (ENSHGLG00100029497.2)". Lineage: Eukaryota; Metazoa; Chordata; Mammalia; Rodentia; Bathyergidae. The record is from RNAcentral.
GGGACUACUACCAUAUAUCCGAUCUGUCUGAUUCAAAGGUCAUUAAGCAGUGUAUGACUUAUAAAAGCCUCCAAAACAGUUAAAGGCAACAGUGUUAAAGCUGGAAAGAGCUUAUGGAAUCUGCUACACCUGGGCCAGGACCAGAGUGAAUUGUCAGCUCUCUGAGUGGCCACCAGACUGAAUCCCAAAAUGGCAAACAUCCCCCCACUUCAGCUCUUGCUUGUAGCCCAUAAUCAAGUUUACAUAAACAGAAAGUUCCUCUAAAUCAGAUCCAAAGAGCAAGGAGUGCUAAAUCCUGCCAAGAGAGAGACAACGCUUCUCUGCCCGCAACUGUUUCAUCUCGGCACUCAAGGCUCUGCAAACCACUGUGUGGAAACAUUUGACUCAGGGCAGCCCGCGAGAAGGAAGGAGGCAGGAGCGCCUUUGCAGCAUGCGAGCUACAGUGAGCGUGGCCGGGGCUUGGUGACACCCAGUCCCUCCCUUCUCUGCCUCCCGGUCUUGGGAGUCAGUUAAGUGUUAUAAACUCUUAAUCACACCCUUGUUUUCCCAAAUAAAGUGCAGCUAAUAG